UCCCUAGUAGCUCAGUUGGUAAAGAAUCUGCCUGCAGUGCAGGAUACCCAGGUUCGAUCCCUGGGUCAGGAA
Molecule: transfer RNA, 72 nt
Filed under: Bos taurus (domestic cattle)
Lineage: Eukaryota; Metazoa; Chordata; Mammalia; Artiodactyla; Bovidae
Also listed under: 5 other names
Rfam family: tRNA
About the family: Transfer RNA (tRNA) molecules are approximately 80 nucleotides in length. Their secondary structure includes four short double-helical elements and three loops (D, anti-codon, and T loops).
Source: Rfam by way of RNAcentral